CGAUGAACCCACUUCGGUGGGGGAUUAGUGGCGAACGGGUGAGUAACACGUGGGCAAUCUGCCCUUCACUCUGGGACAAGCCCUGGAAACGGGGUCUAAUACCGGAUAACACCGUCGCGGGCAUGGUCACUGGUGAAAAGCUCCGGCGGUGAAGGAUGAGCCCGCGGCCUAUCAGCUUGUUGGUGGGGUAAUGGCCUACCAAGGCGACGACGGGUAGCCGGCCUGAGAGGGCGACCGGCCACACUGGGACUGAGACACGGCCCAGACUCCUACGGGAGGCAGCAGUGGGGAAUAUUGCACAAUGGGCGAAAGCCUGAUGCAGCGACGCCGCGUGAGGGAUGACGGCCUUCGGGUUGUAAACCUCUUUCAGCAGGGAAGAAGCGAAAGUGACGGUACCUGCAGAAGAAGCGCCGGCUAACUACGUGCCAGCAGCCGCGGUAAUACGUAGGGCGCAAGCGUUGUCCGGAAUUAUUGGGCGUAAAGAGCUCGUAGGCGGCUUGUCACGUCGGAUGUGAAAGCCCGGGGCUUAACCCCGGGUCUGCAUUCGAUACGGGCAGGCUAGAGUGUGGUAGGGGAGAUCGGAAUUCCUGGUGUAGCGGUGAAAUGCGCAGAUAUCAGGAGGAACACCGGUGGCGAAGGCGGAUCUCUGGGCCAUUACUGACGCUGAGGAGCGAAAGCGUGGGGAGCGAACAGGAUUAGAUACCCUGGUAGUCCACGCCGUAAACGUUGGGAACUAGGUGUUGGCGACAUUCCACGUCGUCGGUGCCGCAGCUAACGCAUUAAGUUCCCCGCC
RNAcentral lists this ribosomal RNA (793 nucleotides) under Streptomyces sp. Its description in RNAcentral is "bacterial SSU rRNA". It matches the Rfam family "Bacterial small subunit ribosomal RNA", at positions 67 to 873 of the family's 1533-position model. The record is from RNAcentral. Lineage: Bacteria; Bacillati; Actinomycetota; Actinomycetes; Kitasatosporales; Streptomycetaceae.